RNAcentral lists this ribosomal RNA (253 nucleotides) under uncultured bacterium. RNAcentral describes it as "partial 16S ribosomal RNA". It matches the Rfam family "Bacterial small subunit ribosomal RNA", at positions 524 to 776 of the family's 1533-position model. The record is from RNAcentral.
UACGUAGGUGGCAAGCGUUGUCCGGAUUUACUGGGCGUAAAGGGCGUGCAGGCGGCUUGUUAAGUGCAGGGUGAAAGCUCCCGGCUCAACUGGGAGAGGUUCUUGCAUACUGGCGAGCUCGAGGGAGGCAGAGGAAAGUGGAAUUCCCGGUGUAGUGGUGAUAUGCGUAGAUAUCGGGAGGAACACCUGUGGCGAAGGCGGCCCACUGGUCCGGUACUGACGCUGAGGUGCGAAAGCGUGGGGAGCAAACAGG